Molecule: ribosomal RNA, 132 nt
Filed under: Daphnia pulex (common water flea)
Lineage: Eukaryota; Metazoa; Arthropoda; Branchiopoda; Diplostraca; Daphniidae
Description: partial 12S ribosomal RNA
Source: RNAcentral
UACACAACCAAUUGCCCAAUUCAACUUACUAUACUUAAGUAAAUUUACUAAUAANUCCACCUUUACCCGGAUUUCAAACCUAAAAUUCGUAUUUCUAUUAAAAAUUGUAGCUCAUUGCUGCCCUCUUAUAAA